GCCCCCAUAGCUCAGUAGGUUAGAGCGGCGGACUCAUAAUCCGUUGGUCGCAGGUUCGAGUCCUGCUGGGGGCA
This 74-nucleotide transfer RNA is filed under the name Terriglobia bacterium. Its description in RNAcentral is "tRNA-Ile". It matches the Rfam family "tRNA". From Rfam's summary of the family: Transfer RNA (tRNA) molecules are approximately 80 nucleotides in length. Their secondary structure includes four short double-helical elements and three loops (D, anti-codon, and T loops). Further hydrogen bonds mediate the characteristic L-shaped molecular structure. tRNAs have two regions of fundamental functional importance: the anti-codon, which is responsible for specific mRNA codon recognition, and the 3' end, to which the tRNAs corresponding amino acid is attached (by aminoacyl-tRNA synthetases). tRNAs cope with the degeneracy of the genetic code in two manners: having more than one tRNA (with a specific anti-codon) for a particular amino acid; and 'wobble' base-pairing, i.e. permitting non-standard base-pairing at the 3rd anti-codon position. Lineage: Bacteria; Pseudomonadati; Acidobacteriota; Terriglobia. The record is from RNAcentral.